RNAcentral lists this ribosomal RNA (464 nucleotides) under uncultured bacterium. Its description in RNAcentral is "bacterial SSU rRNA". It matches the Rfam family "Bacterial small subunit ribosomal RNA", at positions 28 to 490 of the family's 1533-position model. The record is from RNAcentral.
GAUGAACGCUGGCGGCGUGCUUAACACAUGCAAGUCGAACGAAGCUGCUUAACUGAUCUUCUUCGGAAUUGACGUUUUGUAGACUGAGUGGCGGACGGGUGAGUAACGCGUGGGUAACCUGCCCUGUACAGGGGGAUAACAGUCAGAAAUGACUGCUAAUACCGCAUAAGACCACAGCACCGCAUGGUGCAGGGGUAAAAACUCCGGUGGUACAGGAUGGACCCGCGUCUGAUUAGCUGGUUGGUGAGGUAACGGCUCACCAAGGCGACGAUCAGUAGCCGGCUUGAGAGAGUGAACGGCCACAUUGGGACUGAGACACGGCCCAAACUCCUACGGGAGGCAGCAGUGGGGAAUAUUGCACAAUGGGGGAAACCCUGAUGCAGCGACGCCGCGUGAGUGAAGAAGUAUCUCGGUAUGUAAAGCUCUAUCAGCAGGGAAGAAAAUGACGGUACCUGACUAAGAAG